UACGGAGGGGGCAAGCGUUGUUCGGAAUUAUUGGGCGUAAAGGGCGCGUAGGCGGCUAGAUGUGUCAAAGGUGAAAUCCCUCGGCUCAACUGAGGAACUGCCUUUGAAACUGUCUGGCUUGAGGCCGGGAGAGGGUAGCGGAAUUCCCAGUGUAGCGGUGAAAUGCGUAGAUAUUGGGAGGAACACCAGUGGCGAAGGCGGCUACCUGGACCGGUUCUGACGCUGAGGCGCGAAAGCGUGGGUAGCAAACGGG
This 253-nucleotide ribosomal RNA is filed under the name uncultured bacterium. Its description in RNAcentral is "partial 16S ribosomal RNA". It matches the Rfam family "Bacterial small subunit ribosomal RNA", at positions 524 to 776 of the family's 1533-position model. The record is from RNAcentral.